This is a long non-coding RNA of Megalobrama amblycephala (Wuchang bream), 322 nucleotides long. RefSeq lists it as uncharacterized. The transcript is spliced from 3 exons. The record is from RefSeq and is a predicted model, not a curated record. NCBI's taxonomy places the organism in Eukaryota, Metazoa, Chordata, Actinopteri, Cypriniformes, Xenocyprididae.
GAAUUCACCAGGCUUGUGUUAAAGGACCUGAGAAAGUCCUUUUUUGAAGGCCUAGAUGGUCAUCUCUCGAAGUUGAUGCAGUUAUUCAGGUCAAAACAUUCCAGAAAUGACUUCAAUACUGGAGAGCCUUAAUAAGGAUACAACAAACUAAAGGAUGAGGACAGCAGCAUUGCUGGGCCUGCCGUGGUACAUGCGAGAGACUCCUUCAAAAUUCAUGAAGAUAUGCAAGCCCAGUGAGCAUGAAGAGGAUUUGAUCAAGGGUGUGGUGAUUGGAAUCCUAAUGGUUGUGGGAAAUGUGAUGGAACCUCUCCCAGCGAUAUAC